GAUGAAGAACGCAGCGAAAUGCGAUAAGUAAUGUGAAUUGCAGAAUUCAGUGAAUCAUCGAAUCUUUGAACGCACAUUGCGCCCGCCAGUAUUCUGGCGGGCAUGCCUGUUCAAGCGUCAUUACAACCCUCAGGCCCCCGGGCCUGGCGUUGGGGAUCGGCGGAGCCCCCCGUGGGCACACGCCGUCCCCCAAAUACAGUGGCGGUCCCGCCGCAGCUUCCAUCGCGUAGUAGCUAACACCUCGCGACUGGAGAGCGGCGCGGCCACGCCGUAAAACACCCAACUCUUCUGAAGUUGACCUCGAAUCAGGUAGGAAUACCCGCUGAACUUAAGCAUAUCAAUAAGCGGAGGA
This 352-nucleotide unclassified non-coding RNA is filed under the name soil metagenome. Its description in RNAcentral is "partial contains 5.8S ribosomal RNA, internal transcribed spacer 2, and large subunit ribosomal RNA". The stretch from base 1 to 120 matches the Rfam family "5.8S ribosomal RNA", at positions 35 to 154 of the family's 154-position model. The record is from RNAcentral.